RNAcentral lists this ribosomal RNA (170 nucleotides) under uncultured Caulobacter sp. RNAcentral describes it as "partial 16S ribosomal RNA". It matches the Rfam family "Bacterial small subunit ribosomal RNA", at positions 359 to 558 of the family's 1533-position model. Lineage: Bacteria; Pseudomonadati; Pseudomonadota; Alphaproteobacteria; Caulobacterales; Caulobacteraceae. The record is from RNAcentral.
CAGUACAUGAGCGCAGCUGAUGCAGCCAUGCCGCGUGAUGAUGAAGGUCUUAGGAUUGUAAAAUUCUUUCACCGGGGACGAUAAUGACGGUACCCGGAGAAGAGGCCCCGGCUAGCUUCGUGCCAGCAGCCGCGGUAAUACUCCGUGCCAGCAGCCGCGGUAAUACUGGC